AAUUGGAUAAGUUUCAAUUGGAGGUCACGGAGCUAUCAUUAUGAUUAAUAUAAGAUAGCGAGGAUGCAUUUUCACAGUAACCACUGUUCAGCGAUAUUACAUGGUCAGGCGAUUGGUGCGGAACAUGCUAGUUUACGCAACCAUGCAUCAUUGAUCAACGGUGAAAGAAACUAAAGGCAAAAGAAGGCGCACUUCACGGUUGAACAAAAUCGUGUUGGUCGGAAAGUUAAAAAAUAUCACAAGUCUGCUUUCAAACCACAACUAGCCAAGAGCAGUUUCUACAUUAUGCAACCCGUCUGGCAAGAGACAAUGGGAGAAAACAAAACUAACUGUGACUCUCAUGUCACACGAAAGGAUAAAUUAUAAUCAAGACCGCCUCAAGUUCCCACAGAACUUCACGGAAAUGGCUCAAACAUAAUGCGUUUACAAAAUUUAGUUUUGCUUUUUUCUCUUGCACUCAAAUAAAAAGAAUUAAUGUGGAUUUAUUA
Molecule: long non-coding RNA, 488 nt
Organism: Cloeon dipterum
Lineage: Eukaryota; Metazoa; Arthropoda; Insecta; Ephemeroptera; Baetidae
Exons: 2
Source: RefSeq, a predicted model, not a curated record